RNAcentral lists this non-coding RNA (27 nucleotides) under Mus musculus (house mouse). The record is from RNAcentral. Lineage: Eukaryota; Metazoa; Chordata; Mammalia; Rodentia; Muridae.
UUAGACCACAGAACCAUGGGAUGAUAA